Scaptodrosophila lebanonensis is the source of this 351-nucleotide long non-coding RNA. RefSeq lists it as uncharacterized. The transcript has 2 exons. Lineage: Eukaryota; Metazoa; Arthropoda; Insecta; Diptera; Drosophilidae. The record is from RefSeq and is a predicted model, not a curated record.
CAAAGAUGUCAACUUAUUGGCUUUACCUGUCGCUAUGGAUUUGCCUAUUUUUUAAGAUGUUCGUGUUAAGUAAAGUGGGAACGGCUGUAAAGAAACCUUUACGUUGUGCUGCUGAAGAAACUGACGGAUGUCGGCCUUGCUUUGAGCCCUCAUGUUCCCAAUUACUAUACGAUGGUGAACCAUGCCCAACAAAAUGUGAGCUGGCUUGUUUCUGUUUAAAAAUUUAUGUUCGUAAGGCGAGAAAUUGUGUGCCUAUAGAAAAAUGUUGCGUUGGUAACAUGUGCUUAUCCAAUAAGGAGCAAGUUGUUAAGGCGAAAGCUUUAUCUUUAAAUAAACCGUGAUUAUAAACUA